RNAcentral lists this small RNA (116 nucleotides) under Aquamicrobium sp. LC103. RNAcentral's name for it is "Mesorhizobium sp. LC103 Alphaproteobacterial ar14". It matches the Rfam family "Alphaproteobacterial ar14". Rfam says of the family: Smr14C2 was renamed NfeR1 (Nodule Formation Efficiency RNA) highly expressed in salt stress and during the symbiotic interaction on legume roots. The record is from Rfam by way of RNAcentral. Lineage: Bacteria; Pseudomonadati; Pseudomonadota; Alphaproteobacteria; Hyphomicrobiales; Phyllobacteriaceae.
GAGACAGUCAACGGCCUACCUCCUCCCAGGCCAAUGACAAGUCCUGCGGCGCACCUCCUCCCGCGUCGCAUGAUCGAUCAGGCCUGCCGGACCUCCUCCCCCGGCGGGCCUUUUUC